RNAcentral lists this ribosomal RNA (508 nucleotides) under uncultured bacterium. RNAcentral's name for it is "partial 16S ribosomal RNA". It matches the Rfam family "Bacterial small subunit ribosomal RNA", at positions 28 to 523 of the family's 1533-position model. The record is from RNAcentral.
GAUGAACGCUAGCUACAGGCUUAACACAUGCAAGUCGAGGGGAAACGAUAGGGAAAGCUUGCUUUUUCUAGGCGUCGACCGGCGCACGGGUGAGUAACGCGUAUCCAACCUGCCCAUCACUUGGGGAUAACCUUGCGAAAGUAAGACUAAUACCCAAUGACGUCUCUAGAAGACAUCACAAGGAGAUUAAAGAUUUAUCGGGGAUGUAUGGGGAUGCGUCUGAUUAGAUUGUUGGCGGGGUAACGGACCACCAAGGCGACGAUCAGUAGGGGUUCUGAGAGGAAGGUCCCCCACGUUGGAACUGAGACACGGUCCAAACUCCUACGGGAGGCAGCAGUGAGGAAUAUUGGUCAAUGGACGAGAGUCUGAACCAGCCAAGUAGCGUGCAGGAAGACGGCCCUAUGGGUUGUAAACUGCUUUUAUAAGGGAAUAAAGUGAGUCUCGUGAGACUUUUUGCAUGUACCUUAUGAAUAAGGACCGGCUAAUUCCGUGCCAGCAGCCGCAGUAA